UUUGUCGAUAAAAAGUCUAAAAAUGUUGAAAAUCCAUCGAUUGGAACUAGUUUCGAUUCCGUCAAAGAGGGCUACAAGUUUUACAAUCUUUAUUCAUGGGAGGUUGGUUUUAGGGUGCGCUAUGCAAAAAGCCGUUUGAAUGUACACAGAAAGAAGUGCAUGCAGGAGAUAGUUUGUGCAUGUGCGGGUAAGCCAUUGCAAGCCAACAGUAGGUCGACGAGGUGUGGUUGCAAUGUCAUAAUACGACUACUGAGGUCAGACGAUGGUGGAUGGUAUGUAUGCGAGCACAGGGCUGACCACAACCAUGAUUUACCUCUUAAUUGUGGAGAGUUGCACUGGAAGUCGCACCAAUACAUAGAUAGCUAUACAAGGGACGUGGUUAAGCAAUUGAGAGGAAAUAAUAUCAGCAUUAGCAAGGUUUACAGUGUCAUAGGUAGUUUCUUUGGCAUGAUAAAGGACGUGCCACUCACGAAACGUUCCUUAAAAACACUAUGUGGUAAACUUAACCGGGAACAGUCUCUUAAUGAUGCAAUAAAAACCAUAGAUGUAUUCAACAAGAUGAGGGCAGAGGACCCUGAAUUUAAAUACAGUAUUUAGGUUGACACCGAGGGUAGGAUUAAGACAUUGAUGUGGGCUGCUGGCAGAGGGAUUGAGCAAUUCAAGUGUUUCGGUGAUGUUGUGACAUUUGAUACAACCUACAAGACAAACCUGUACGACAUGCCAUUUGGGCUUUUUGUUGGUGUCAAUAAUCACUUCCAUAGCAUCAUUUAUGGGGGCGUGUUGAUGAGCGAUGAGAAGGUGCACACUUUCAAGUGAAUAUUCACAGAAUUUUUCCAAAUGCUAGCAGCACCACAGCCAAAAACUAUCUUAACAGGUAAUGCAUGA
Molecule: ribosomal RNA, 885 nt
Filed under: Triticum aestivum (bread wheat)
Lineage: Eukaryota; Viridiplantae; Streptophyta; Magnoliopsida; Poales; Poaceae
Description: partial small subunit ribosomal RNA
Source: RNAcentral